This 440-nucleotide ribosomal RNA is filed under the name uncultured bacterium. RNAcentral's name for it is "partial 16S ribosomal RNA". It matches the Rfam family "Bacterial small subunit ribosomal RNA", at positions 338 to 795 of the family's 1533-position model. The record is from RNAcentral.
CCUACGGGAGGCUGCAGUGGGGAAUAUUGCACAAUGGGGGAAACCCUGAUGCAGCGACGCCGCGUGAGUGAAGAAGUAUUUCGGUACGUAAAGCUCUAUCAGCAGGGAAGAAAAUGACGGUACCUGACUAAGAAGCACCGGCUAACUACGUGCCAGCAGCCGCGGUAAUACGUAGGGGGCAAGCGUUGUCCGGAUUUACUGGGUGUAAAGGGAGCGUAGACGGCAGCGCAAGUCUGGAGUGAAAUCCCAUGGCUUAACCAUGGAACUGCUUUGGAAACUGUGCAGCUAGAGUGCAGGAGAGGUAAGCGGAAUUCCUAGUGUAGCGGUGAAAUGCGUAGAUAUUAGGAGGAACACCAGUGGCGAAGGCGGCUUACUGGACUGUAACUGACGUUGAGGCUCGAAAGCGUGGGGAGCAAACAGGAUUAGAUACCCCAGUAGUC